Molecule: ribosomal RNA, 511 nt
Filed under: Amnirana amnicola (Ilanga frog)
Lineage: Eukaryota; Metazoa; Chordata; Amphibia; Anura; Ranidae
Description: partial 16S ribosomal RNA
Rfam family: Bacterial large subunit ribosomal RNA
Source: RNAcentral
CGGCUACGGUACCCUGACCGUACGAAGGUAGCAUAAUCACUUGUUCCUUAAAUAGGGACUCGUAUCAACGGCAUCACGAGGGCUGCACUGUCUCCUCUCUUCAAUCAGUGAAACUGAUCCUCCCGUGAAGAAGCGGGAAUUUAAUUAUAAGACGAGAAGACCCCAUGGAGCUUUAAACAACGUACUCACACUAUACAUAUAUACCCAUUAACUAAAAGCCCUGAGUACAAGUUUUAGGUUGGGGAGACCGCGGAGAACAACUAAACCUCCACGACAGACGGCCCAAGCCCUUAUCCACGAGCUACAACUCUAAGAAUCAGCACACUGAUGAUUAUGACCCGAUACCAUUCGACUAACGAACCAAGUUACCCUGGGGAUAACAGCGCAAUCUACUUCAAGAGCCCAUAUCGACAAGUAGGUUUACGACCUCGAUGUUGGAUCAGGGUAUCCCUGUGGUGCAGCAGCUACUAACGGUUCGUUUGUUCAACGAUUAAAACCCUACGUGAUCUGA